AUGUAUGUAUGUAGCACAUGUAUGUAUGUAUGUAUGUAUGUAGCACAUGUAUGUAUGUAUGUAUGUAUGUAGCACAUGUAUGUAUGUAUGUAUGUAUGUAUGUAUGUAGCACGUAUGUAUGUAUGUAUGUAUGUAUGUAUGUAUGUAUGUAUGUAGCACAUGUAUGUAUGUAUGUAUGUAUGUAGCACAUGUAUGUAUGUAUGUAUGUAUGUAGCAUAUGUAUGUAUGUAUGUAUGUAUGUAUGUAUGUAUCACAUGUAUGUAGCACAUGUAUGU
Molecule: long non-coding RNA, 275 nt
Organism: Ictalurus punctatus (channel catfish)
Lineage: Eukaryota; Metazoa; Chordata; Actinopteri; Siluriformes; Ictaluridae
Source: Ensembl